UCCUGGCUCAGAACGAACGCUGGCGGCAGGCCUAACACAUGCAAGUCGAACGCCCCGCAAGGGGAGUGGCGCACGGGUGAGUAACACGUGGGAACCUACCUUCUGGUACGGAACAACCAAGGGAAACUUUGGCUAAUACCGUAUACGACCUCCGGGUGAAAGAUUUAUCGCCGGAAGAGGGGCCCGCGUCCGAUUAGGUAGUUGGUGGGGUAACGGCCUACCAAGCCGACGAUCGGUAGCUGGUCUGAGAGGAUGACCAGCCACACUGGGACUGAGGCACGGCCCAGACUCCUACGGGAGGCAGCAGUGGGGAAUAUUGGACAAUGGGCGAAAGCCUGAUCCAGCCAUGCCGCGUGAGUGAUGAAGGCCUUCGGGUUGUAAAGCUCUUUCACCCACGACGAUGAUGACGGUAGUG
RNAcentral lists this ribosomal RNA (415 nucleotides) under uncultured Rhodospirillales bacterium. Its description in RNAcentral is "bacterial SSU rRNA". It matches the Rfam family "Bacterial small subunit ribosomal RNA", at positions 17 to 480 of the family's 1533-position model. The record is from RNAcentral. Lineage: Bacteria; Pseudomonadati; Pseudomonadota; Alphaproteobacteria; Rhodospirillales.